Molecule: ribosomal RNA, 95 nt
Filed under: uncultured bacterium
Lineage: Bacteria
Description: partial 16S ribosomal RNA
Source: RNAcentral
ACCGCCCGUCACACCAUGGGAGUGGGUUUCACCAGAAGCGGUCGCUUAACCCGCAAGGGAUGGCGCCGACCACGGUGAGAUUCAUGACUGGGGUG